GCUCGAGUGGCGAACUGGUGAGUAACACGUGAGUAACCUGCCCUUGACUUUGGGAUAACUUCAGGAAACUGGGGCUAAUACCGGAUAGGAGCUCCUGCUGCAUGGUGGGGGUUGGAAAGUUUCGGCGGUUGGGGAUGGACUCGCGGCUUAUCAGCUUGUUGGUGGGGUAGUGGCUUACCAAGGCUUUGACGGGUAGCCGGCCUGAGAGGGUGACCGGCCACAUUGGGACUGAGAUACGGCCCAG
RNAcentral lists this ribosomal RNA (244 nucleotides) under uncultured Actinomycetales bacterium. RNAcentral describes it as "partial 16S ribosomal RNA". It matches the Rfam family "Bacterial small subunit ribosomal RNA", at positions 89 to 334 of the family's 1533-position model. The record is from RNAcentral. Lineage: Bacteria; Bacillati; Actinomycetota; Actinomycetes; Actinomycetales.